UACGAAGGGAGCUAGCGUUGUUCGGAAUCACUAGGCGUAAAGCGCCCGUAGGCGGAUGUGUCAGUCAGGGGUGAAAUCCCGGAGCUCAACUUCGGAACUGCCUUCGAUACUGGCGAUCUAGAGUCCGGAAGAGGUGAGUGGAACUCCUAGUGUAGAGGUGGAAUUCGUAGAUAUUAGGAAGAACACCAGUGGCGAAGGCGGCUCACUGGUCCGGUACUGACGCUGAGGUGCGAAAGCGUGGGGAGCAAACAGG
This 253-nucleotide ribosomal RNA is filed under the name uncultured bacterium. RNAcentral describes it as "partial 16S ribosomal RNA". It matches the Rfam family "Bacterial small subunit ribosomal RNA", at positions 524 to 776 of the family's 1533-position model. The record is from RNAcentral.